This 429-nucleotide ribosomal RNA is filed under the name Pseudomonadota bacterium. Its description in RNAcentral is "Proteobacteria bacterium partial 16S ribosomal RNA". It matches the Rfam family "Bacterial small subunit ribosomal RNA", at positions 355 to 776 of the family's 1533-position model. Lineage: Bacteria; Pseudomonadati; Pseudomonadota. The record is from RNAcentral.
UGGGGAAUAUUGGACAAUGGGCGAAAGCCUGAUCCAGCCAUGCCGCGUGUGUGAAGAAGGUCUUCGGAUUGUAAAGCACUUUAAGUUGGGAGGAAGGGCAGUAAGCGAAUACCUUGCUGUUUUGACGUUACCGACAGAAUAAGCACCGGCUAACUCUGUGCCAGCAGCCGCGGUAAUACAGAGGGUGCAAGCGUUAAUCGGAAUUACUGGGCGUAAAGCGCGCGUAGGCGGCUAAUUGAGUCGGAUGUGAAAUCCCCGAGCUUAACUUGGGAAUUGCAUUCGAUACUGGUUAGCUAGAGUGUGGGAGAGGAUGGUAGAAUUCCAGGUGUAGCGGUGAAAUGCGUAGAGAUCUGGAGGAAUACCGAUGGCGAAGGCAGCCAUCUGGCCUAACACUGACGCUGAGUUACGAAAGCAUGGGGAGCAAACAGG